AUGGAGCUGCCAUCAAACGCUCAAGCAGCCGCACAACUGGCUGGUCCAGGGGGCCCACCGCAAAACUUGGCUCCCAACCUUGAUUAUGGAGAAUACGACUACACUAUAGAGGAAUUAGAAACAUACGGGGAGUUAGAGACCAGUUUACCACAGAGACUAACGGAGGCCCUCAAUCAACAGCUGCCUGAGAACAAGCUGUUGGAAGAUGUUCCAGAAUAUAUACCAGAACUGAAUAUAAAUGAUGAUGACCUUUUGAAACCAGGUGUUCAUGUUCAACCCACUGAUUCUUUUGUUUAUCAAGAUCCUUUUGAAGUAGCUCAAACAUACUUGGAAAAACAUGGCAUUAUGCAAAUAUUCCAGCGGAUCACUGAAAACUUAAUAUAUGAACAGCCCGAUGACCCUUUGCGCUUUUUGCUGUGGCAGGUAUGCACUAGACCAAAAGGAAAACAGUACUUUAUUUUUAGAUCCAGCUUUACAACCAAAGUCCUUAGAAUUGAGACUUGAUAGUAGAGAAGGGAAGGGGGAGAGAUUUCAUUAAUGGUGUGGAGAUAAUUUUUUAAUUAAGGGUAAAUGUAUUCAGAUGAAAGUAAUAGAAUUGGGAAGACUUAGAGAGGUAACAAAAUGAAAUGAACAAAUUGUAUGGACUAUAGGAAGCACAUUUAUUUGUUGUCUCAAAAAAAAAAAGUACUAACCUGCCUUCAUUGUAGCAUAGUGGAAAGAAUAAUUGAUCCGAAGUCAAGUUGCCUAGGCUCCAGUUUCAGUUCUGUUACACUGAUUAGUUCUGUGACUGAGCAAAUUAACUUUUUUUGAGCUUCAUUUUCCUUAACCGAAAAAUGAAAGGGUUCUACUAAAAUAAUUCUUUGCAGAGAUGGUGACGUUUUGAAGAACAGAUGAUGAGUUCUGUUUUAGAAGUUUUACUCUUGAGGUGAUAGCAGAAUAUCUAUGUGAAAAUUCAGGAAAUUAGUAAUUGCAUUUCUUGAAAGAGAUCAUGCUUGAGGUAUAGCUUUGAUAAUUGUUACACUGAAAGUGGAUAAUGACCUAGGAAAAGAGUGAAGAGUACGCAACAUUUUUGUUGUUCAAUCAUUUCUAUCAUGUCUGACUCUUAAAUGACCCUAUUUGGGGUUUUCCUGGCAAAGACAAUGAAGUAGUUUACCAUUUCCUUCUCCAGCUCAUUUUGCAGAUAAGGAUCUGAUGCAGAUGGGGUUAAGUGACUUGCCUAGGGUCACACAGCUAGUAUGUGUGUCAGAUUUGACCUCUGAGAGAUGGAGCUUCCUGACUUCAUGCCUGGCGCUAUCCAUUUUGCCACCUAGCUGCCCACUGAACUUUGAGUGAUGGUUUAGAGUAGGGAAUAGGACUUGGAGAUAGUAAAGAAACAACUGAAAUGGAGGACAUAUAAAUUCAUGAAAGCCUCCCAGAGAAGAAGAAAGUCUCUAAAAAGUUUAAUGCACAGAGGGCAAAGGUCAAGACAAAGGGCAGAUAUCUGCUAAGAUAAAUAGGAAAGAAGAUGGGAUUAGUGAAGGCACAGAGAUAUUUUGAAAUAAAAGUGAAGAGAAUGAAGGAAAACCCA
Long non-coding RNA from Monodelphis domestica (gray short-tailed opossum), 1567 nucleotides. NCBI's taxonomy places the organism in Eukaryota, Metazoa, Chordata, Mammalia, Didelphimorphia, Didelphidae. The record is from Ensembl.